Molecule: ribosomal RNA, 492 nt
Filed under: uncultured bacterium
Lineage: Bacteria
Description: partial 16S ribosomal RNA
Rfam family: Bacterial small subunit ribosomal RNA
Source: RNAcentral
AUUGAACGCUGGCGGCAUGCUUUACACAUGCAAGUCGAACGGUAACAGGCCUUCGGGUGCUGACGAGUGGCGCACGGGUGAGUAAUGCAUCGGAACGUACCCAGAGGUGGGGGAUAACGCAGCGAAAGCUGUGCUAAUACCGCAUGUGAUCUGAGGAUGAAAGCGGGGGACCGAGCAGCAAUGUUUGGCCUCGCGCCUUUGGAGCGGCCGAUGUCGGAUUAGCUAGUUGGUGGGGUAAAGGCCUACCAAGGCGACGAUCCGUAGCUGGUCUGAGAGGACGACCAGCCACACUGGGACUGAGACACGGCCCAGACUCCUACGGGAGGCAGCAGUGGGGAAUUUUGGACAAUGGGCGCAAGCCUGAUCCAGCAAUGCCGCGUGCGGGAAGAAGGCCUUCGGGUUGUAAACCGCCUUUGGCAGGAACGAAACGGUGUCCGCUAAUACCGGGCGCUAAUGACGGUACCUGCAGAAUAAGCACCGGCUAACUACGUG